Molecule: ribosomal RNA, 2032 nt
Filed under: human gut metagenome
Description: bacterial LSU rRNA
Rfam family: Bacterial large subunit ribosomal RNA
Source: RNAcentral
ACAAGAUAUCUAGGGCGCACGGCGGAUGCCUUGGCACAGGAAGUCGACGAAGGACGCGGCAAGCUGCGAUAAGCCCCGGGGAGUGGCAAACACACCUUGAUCCGGGGAUCUCCGAAUGGGGGAACCCAGCAGGGGUCAUGCCCUGCUACCCACGCCUGAAUCAAAUAGGGCGUAGGGAGGCAACCGGGGGAACUGAAACAUCUAAGUACCCCGAGGAAGAGAAAUCAACCGAGAUUGCGCGAGUAGCGGCGAGCGAAAGCGCACCAGCCCAAACCCGGGCGCGUGUAAGCGGCAGGCGUUGCCGCCCGGGGGUUGCGGGACGCACGUCACGGAGCUGCCCUCCGUGGAGUGGUUACAAAGGAGUCAGGUAGCGGAACGGCAUGGAAGGGCCGGCCGCAGCGGGUGAGAGCCCCGUACGCGAAACCCGUCUCCCCACUGUUGCGCAUCCCGAGUAGGGCCGGGCACGUGAAACCCGGUCCGAAGCCGGGGGGACCACCCUCCAAGGCUGAACACUCUCCUGUGACCGAUAGCGAACCAGUACCGUGAGGGAAAGGUGAAAAGCACCCCGAGAGGGGAGUGAAACAGUACCUGAAACCGUGCGCCCACAAGCAGUCGGAGCAGCCUUUGCGCUGUGACGGCGUGCCUUUUGUAGAAUGAGCCAGCGAGUUGCGGUGUGCGGCGAGGUUAAGUUUGGAAACGAGCCGCAGCGAAAGCGAGCCUUUAAGAUGGCGAGUGAGUCGCACGCUGCAGACGCGAAGCCGGGUGAGCUAUCCUGGGGCAGGCUGAAGCGGGGGUAAGACCCCGUGGAGGGCCGAACCCACUUCGGUUGAAAACGGAGGGGAUGACCCCAGGAUAGGGGUGAAAGGCCAAUCAAACCCGGAGAUAUCUCGUUCUCCCCGAAAUAGCUUUAGGGCUAGCCUCGGCCGUUAACCCGCGGUGGUAGAGCCACCGGAUCGACGAGGGGGCUUCACCGCCUACCGACUCGAACCGAACUCCGAAUGCCGCGGGUCGAGAGGCCGGGAGUCAGAGGGCGUGGGCUAAGCUGCGCGCUCGAGAGGGAAACAGCCCAGACCGCCCGCUAAGGUCCCCAAGUCAUCGCUGAGUGGCAAAGGAUGUGCGUCUGCCCAGACAACCAGGAUGUUGGCUUAGAAGCAGCCAUGCAUUUAAAGAGUGCGUAACAGCUCACUGGUCGAGUGGACAUGCGCCGACAAUUCACGGGGCUAAGCGAUGCACCGAAGCGGCGGACUGAGAAUUCAGUGGUAGGGGAGCUCUCCGCGGGGGGCGAAGCAGCAGGGCGACCUGCUGUGGACCGCGCGGAGGUGAGAAUGCUGGCAUGAGUAACGAGACCAGGGCGAGAAACCCUGGCGCCGUGAGCCUAAGGGUUCCUGGGCGAGGCUAAUCCCCCCAGGGUCAGUCGGGAGCUAAGGCGAGGCCGAGAGGCGUAGCCGAUGCGCAGCGGGCAGACAUUCCCGCACCGCCGACGGCGCGGCAUUACCGAUGGGGCGACGGAGAAGGGUAGCCGGGCGGGGUUCUGGACGUCCCCGUGAAAGCGCGUAGGGCGCGCAGCGUGGAAAUCAGCUGCGCACGGGGCCCGAGACGCGAGACGAAGCGAGCGAGCGAAGCCGGUGAGCCCAUGCUUCCGAGAAAAACCUCUAGGGAGUGCCGUCGGCGCCCGUACCAAAACCGACACAGGUGGGCGGGUAGAACAUACCGAGGCGAUCGGGAGAACCACGGUUAAGGAACUCGGCAUACUGGCCCCGUAACUUCGGGAGAAGGGGCGCCGCCGGCUGUGAACGCCCUCGCGGCGGGAGCGGCUGGCGGCCGCAGCGAAACGGCCCAAGCGACUGUUUAUCAAAAACACAGGACUCUGCAAAGCGGCAACGCGACGUAUAGGGUCUGACGCCUGCCCGGUGCCGGAAGGUUACGCGGAUGCGUCAGCCGAAAGGCGAAGCGCUGAAGCCAAGCCCCGGUAAACGGCGGCCGUAACUAUAACGGUCCUAAGGUAGCGAAAUUCCUUGUCGGGUAAGUUCCG